This 1203-nucleotide unclassified non-coding RNA is filed under the name Hevea brasiliensis (rubber tree). The record is from RNAcentral. Lineage: Eukaryota; Viridiplantae; Streptophyta; Magnoliopsida; Malpighiales; Euphorbiaceae.
GCGUCAGAUACAUGAGCCUUGUAACGGUAGUUGUUAGCACAGUAAAGAAAAAAGAAAAAGUUACAAAACGCCAUUGUUGCAAUCACAUAGUAAAAGUAAUCCAAUCUCCCUUUGUUGAGAUCAUCCACCAACCAAUCGGGUCUGCCAUGAGCGGCGGUGGUUCGAUGCACAAUCAAAACCAUAGCAGUAUUGACAUAGCUAGACAAAGCAAUGGAACAAGAGGAGAAAGCAUUACCCAUAGUCCUCAUAUGCUCCGGAAAUUCCUUAUUGAAAAACUCAAUUUGGCCAAUUAUAUUAAACGCCUCACAAAGCCCCAUGAGGAAGAAUUGGGGAGUAAGCCAAAAGACGGACAUUAUAGAACCGUCAUUGUUGGCGCGAUUUCUUCUCUGCAUUUCGAUUAGGCCGGCAACGAUCAUGGAGAGGACGGCGAAGAUUAUGCCGAUGGCCAUGCGUUGGAGCUCCGUUAUGCCGUUUGGGUGGUGGGUGAAUUUACGGAGAGUGGGGACGAGGAAUUGGUCAUAGAAGGGAAUGAAGAAAGUGAUUGUGAGGAAGGAGAUGACGAUUAUGGAAGCAGGGGGGAUUUGAAAAUUGGGUCCCAUGUGACGGUUCAUUUGAAGAGCUUGGGAGAUUGAGAAUGUGGAUUGUUGAAUAAUUGGAGUGAGGCUAAGAAUUCCUGUUACCCAUAUUGGGAAAACUCUGAACAAGCAUUUUAAUUCUUCUACUUGUUGUAUGCUGCUUAGAUUCCAUUUGUUCACUCUUCUUCCAUCCAGGUUUAUCUCUUUCUCCAUCAUAAUUGCUGCCUUGUUUAGAAAACUAAAUUGGUUGGUGAGAGGAAGCUUUGUGAGGACAACAGAGUGAGGGGCCAACGGAGGGUCAUAAAAACCCAUCUUAUCAUCAGGAAGCUUAAGAUGACGCUUCUUGUAAGCAGCAACAGCCACUUGAGCUAAUCCCGUAAAUAUGCUUCCUUCAGGCUUUAUCAACACAUAAACACGAGUCCCCAUGAAGAACAGAACAAUAGAACAAAACAUAAGCCCCGUCGGUAUUCCAUAUCCCAAAACCCAACUCACUGAGUCUUGAAUAUACACAACAAUCGUCAAAGUAAACACCAAAACCACCAUAAACGUCGCAUAAUACCAAUUGUAAAAACUCGCUAUCCCUUUCCUCCCUUUCUCUGUCGUCGGGUCAAAUUGAUCAACCCCAAAU